This 147-nucleotide small RNA is filed under the name uncultured Eubacterium sp. Its description in RNAcentral is "M-box riboswitch (ykoK leader)". It matches the Rfam family "M-box riboswitch aptamer (ykoK leader)", at positions 11 to 156 of the family's 169-position model. From Rfam's summary of the family: M-box riboswitch, also know as ykoK leader is described as a metaloregulatory RNA that sense divalent metals and function as a genetic control element of genes related to divalent metal transport in bacteria. It was first reported upstream of the B.subtilis ykoK gene and genes with related functions in other bacteria. The record is from RNAcentral. Lineage: Bacteria; Bacillati; Bacillota; Clostridia; Eubacteriales; Eubacteriaceae.
AAUAUCCGAUAAGUGAGGCUACUUAAGGGAUAUGGACUGCUGCCGCAAAGCGAUGGAGACAUCACUAGUUGGUUUGAACAGUUAUCGUCGUAUCAAGGCGUUGACUAAUGCAGUUUCACCGCCCUUUUGAGCUAAAGCCCAAACGGA